GCCUCUGUAGCUCAGUUGGUUAGAGUGCUGCUCCGGAAUUGCAGGGCCAUAGGUUUGACUCCUACCAGAGGAC
This 73-nucleotide transfer RNA is filed under the name Paramuricea clavata. It matches the Rfam family "tRNA". Rfam says of the family: Transfer RNA (tRNA) molecules are approximately 80 nucleotides in length. Their secondary structure includes four short double-helical elements and three loops (D, anti-codon, and T loops). Further hydrogen bonds mediate the characteristic L-shaped molecular structure. tRNAs have two regions of fundamental functional importance: the anti-codon, which is responsible for specific mRNA codon recognition, and the 3' end, to which the tRNAs corresponding amino acid is attached (by aminoacyl-tRNA synthetases). tRNAs cope with the degeneracy of the genetic code in two manners: having more than one tRNA (with a specific anti-codon) for a particular amino acid; and 'wobble' base-pairing, i.e. permitting non-standard base-pairing at the 3rd anti-codon position. The record is from Rfam by way of RNAcentral. Lineage: Eukaryota; Metazoa; Cnidaria; Anthozoa; Malacalcyonacea; Plexauridae.